This 562-nucleotide long non-coding RNA is filed under the name Pongo abelii (Sumatran orangutan). Its description in RNAcentral is "lincRNA". The record is from RNAcentral. Lineage: Eukaryota; Metazoa; Chordata; Mammalia; Primates; Hominidae.
GGGCCUGGUCAACAGUGGUCCAGAAGCUGAGGCCUGGUUGGGGGUCAUCCAGCAGCUGAGGCCUGGUCAUCUGGGCCCAGCAUUUGGGGCCUGAUCAGCAGGGGUCAGAUCAGUGAGGCCUAGUCAGUGAGGUGUAGAUGUAGGGGCCUGGAUGGACGUGGAGGAAGACGCAGCUACCCUACUUGCGUAGCAGCAGUGGGCAUCAUUGCCCAGUGUGAGCAGUGCGACGUAGCUGCCACUCAUCAGCGCCCUGGAAGUAAAGAGAAGACGUCAGGAGAUGAGAGACACAGAAAAAUGGCUCCAGGUGCUUCUCAACUGGCAGUGAUAUAGGAGCAGCAAGGAGAGGAAGUAAUGACGCCCUCCUCCCAGACUUGCCCCAAAGUCCCCCGGAGCUUGGUGGUGUCCCGGGACGGUCCUCCCAGGAAAUAUUUUGAACAAGUUGCUGAAGUGCCUGAUGGACGUGGCUCUCGUCACGAAAUGAGUUUGGAUCCGAGAAGCCCUCUUCUUCAUCAGAAAUGGGGAAGGGUCUACAGAGGGGCCUGGAAUGGGGAGGUUUGGGGGC